UUACGGGAGGCAGCAGUGGGGAAUAUUGCACAAUGGGCGGAAGCCUGAUGCAGCGACGCCGCGUGAGGGAUGACGGCCUUCGGGUUGUAAACCUCUUUCAGCAGGGACGAAGCGUAAGUGACGGUACCUGCAGAAGAAGCGCCGGCCAACUACGUGCCAGCAGCCGCGGUAAGACGUAGGGCGCGAGCGUUGUCCGGAUUUAUUGGGCGUAAAGAGCUCGUAGGCGGCUUGUCGCGUCGACUGUGAAAACCCGCAGCUCAACUGCGGGCCUGCAGUCGAUACGGGCAGGCUAGAGUUCGGUAGGGGAGACUGGAAUUCCUGGUGUAGCGGUGAAAUGCGCAGAUAUCAGGAGGAACACCGGUGGCGAAGGCGGGUCUCUGGGCCGAUACUGACGCUGAGGAGCGAAAGCGUGGGGAGCGAACAGGAUUAGAUACCCUGGUAGA
This 443-nucleotide ribosomal RNA is filed under the name uncultured bacterium. RNAcentral's name for it is "bacterial SSU rRNA". It matches the Rfam family "Bacterial small subunit ribosomal RNA", at positions 339 to 794 of the family's 1533-position model. The record is from RNAcentral.